AUGUAGGCAAGGGAAGUCG
Molecule: small nuclear RNA, 19 nt
Filed under: Arabidopsis thaliana (thale cress)
Lineage: Eukaryota; Viridiplantae; Streptophyta; Magnoliopsida; Brassicales; Brassicaceae
Description: snRNA_04377
Source: RNAcentral